AUUGAACGCUGGCGGCAUGCCUUACACAUGCAAGUCGAACGGCAGCAUGGAGAGCUUGCUCUCUGAUGGCGAGUGGCGAACGGGUGAGUAAAGCAUCGGAACGUACCGUGUAGUGGGGGAUAACGUAGCGAAAGUUACGCUAAUACCACAUACGCACUGAGGUGGAAAGCAGGGGAUCGCAAGACCUUGCGCUAUACGAGCGGCCGAUGUCAGAUUAGCUAGUUGGUAGGGUAAAGGCCUACCAAGGCGACGAUCGGUAGCGGGUCUGAGAGGAUGAUCCGCCACACUGGGACUGAGAAACGGCCCAGACUCCGACGGGAGGCAGCAGUGGGGAAUUUUGGACAAUGGGGGCAACCCUGAUCCAGCCAUGCCGCGUGAGUGAAGAAGGCCUUCGGGUUGUAAAGCUCUUUCGGCCGGGAAGAAAUCGCACAGGCUAAUACUCUGUGUGGAUGACGGUACCGGCAUAAGAAGCACCGGCUAACUGCGUGCCAGCCGCCGCCGUAA
RNAcentral lists this ribosomal RNA (504 nucleotides) under uncultured bacterium. RNAcentral's name for it is "partial 16S ribosomal RNA". It matches the Rfam family "Bacterial small subunit ribosomal RNA", at positions 29 to 523 of the family's 1533-position model. The record is from RNAcentral.